ACGCUAGGCGGCGGGCUUAACACAUGCAAGUCGAGCGGAGAGCUUCGGCUCUCAGCGGCGAACGGGUGAGUAACACGUAGGUCACGUACCCUUUGAGUGGGGAAUAACCUAGGGAAACCUGGGCUAAUACCGCAUAUGUCCUUCGGGAUGAAAGCCUUCGGGCGUCAGAGGAUCGGCCUGCGGCCAUUAUUUAAUCCUAGUUGGUAGGGUAAUGGCCUACCAAGGGUACGAUGGGUAGCUGGUCUGAGAGGAUGAUCAGCCACACUGGAACUGAGACACGGUUCAGACUCCGUACGGGGAGGCAGCAGUGGGGAAUAUUGGACAAUGGGCGAAAGCCUGAUCCAGCCACGCCGCGUGGGUGAUGAAGGCCUUCGGGUUGUAAAGCCCUGUCGGGAGGGACGAAUCAAUGACGGUACCUCCCAAGAAAGCACCGGCUAACUCCGUG
RNAcentral lists this ribosomal RNA (445 nucleotides) under uncultured bacterium. Its description in RNAcentral is "bacterial SSU rRNA". It matches the Rfam family "Bacterial small subunit ribosomal RNA", at positions 38 to 507 of the family's 1533-position model. The record is from RNAcentral.